UCCCUUGUGGUCCAGUGGUUAGGACUCUGAGCUUCCAAUGCAGAGGGCAUGGGUUCAAUCCCCAGUCAGGGAA
This is a transfer RNA of Ovis aries (sheep), 73 nucleotides long. It matches the Rfam family "tRNA". From Rfam's summary of the family: Transfer RNA (tRNA) molecules are approximately 80 nucleotides in length. The record is from Rfam. NCBI's taxonomy places the organism in Eukaryota, Metazoa, Chordata, Mammalia, Artiodactyla, Bovidae.